GACGAACGCUGGCGGCGUGCUUAACACAUGCAAGUCGAACGGAAAGGCCCUGCUUUUGUGGGGUGCUCGAGUGGCGAACGGGUGAGUAACACGUGAGUAACCUGCCCUUGACUUUGGGAUAACUUCAGGAAACUGGGGCUAAUACCGGAUAGGAGCUCCUGCUGCAUGGUGGGGGUUGGAAAGUUUCGGCGGUUGGGGAUGGACUCGCGGCUUAUCAGCUUGUUGGUGGGGUAGUGGCUUACCAAGGCUUUGACGGGUAGCCGGCCUGAGAGGGUGACCGGCCACAGUGGGACUGCGAUACGGCCCAGACUCCUACGGGAGGCAGCAGUGGAGAAUAUUGCACAAUGGGCGGAAGCCUGAUGCAGCAACGCCGCGUGCGGGAUGACGGCCUUCGGGUUGUAAACAGCUUUCGCCUGUGACGAAGAGUGAGUGACGGUAAUGGGUAAAGAAGCACCGGCUAACUACGUG
RNAcentral lists this ribosomal RNA (468 nucleotides) under uncultured bacterium. Its description in RNAcentral is "partial 16S ribosomal RNA". It matches the Rfam family "Bacterial small subunit ribosomal RNA", at positions 28 to 507 of the family's 1533-position model. The record is from RNAcentral.